Molecule: long non-coding RNA, 429 nt
Filed under: Rattus norvegicus (Norway rat)
Lineage: Eukaryota; Metazoa; Chordata; Mammalia; Rodentia; Muridae
Description: long non-coding RNA NONRATT020926
Source: RNAcentral
GGCUGACCUGCUGCCCCUGGACAGCCUCAAGAGGUUAGGCACCUCUAAGGACCUGCCAGCAGCCACACAGUGUGAUCCAAAGACGCCUGGUGGAGGGAAAGCAGAGGCGGCUUCAGGGGGAGUCCCCCCUGCUGCAGGCUCUGAUCCGUGGCCAUGACAGCAGCAGGACCAGUGCGACACAGGUUCCAGCUCUUCUUGUCAACUGCAAGUGCCAGGACCAGAUGCUUCGUGUGGCUGUGGACACAGGGACCCAGCACAAUCAGAUAUCUGCUGGAUGCCUCAGGCGCCUGGGGUUAGGAAAGAGGGUCCCCCAAGCCCCAGGUGGGGAUCUGGCACCUGAGUCAACAAGUCAGGUGGAACAGGUGGAGCUGGAGCUGGGGCAGGAGACGGUGGCAUGCUCGGCCCAGGUGGUGGAUGUGGACAGUCCUG